RNAcentral lists this ribosomal RNA (592 nucleotides) under Thayeria obliqua (penguinfish). RNAcentral describes it as "partial 16S large subunit ribosomal RNA". It matches the Rfam family "Bacterial large subunit ribosomal RNA", at positions 1808 to 2609 of the family's 2925-position model. Lineage: Eukaryota; Metazoa; Chordata; Actinopteri; Characiformes; Characidae. The record is from RNAcentral.
CAAAAACAUCGCCUCCUGCAAAAAAUCAAUGUAUGGGAGGUCUUGCCUGCCCAGUGACUUAAGUUAAACGGCCGCGGUAUUUUGACCGUGCAAAGGUAGCGCAAUCACUUGUUUUUUAAAUAAAGACCUGUAUGAACGGUGAGACGAGGGCUUAACUGUCUCCCCUCUCCAAUCAGUGAAACUGAUCUACCCGUGCAGAAGCGGGUAUACAUCUACAAGACGAGAAGACCCUAUGGAGCUUAAGACAUAAAAUCAACUGUGUAAAAAUCCUUGAAAACAGGACUACAACAACAUCAGUAACUGAUUUUAGUCUUCGGUUGGGGCGACCGCGGGGGAAAAAAAAUCCCCCAUGUGGAAUGGAGCUUUCUCCAAAACCACGAGGCACACCUCUAAGUCACAGAACUUCUGACCAAAAGAUCCGGCACAAGCCGACCAACGGACCAAGUUACCCUAGGGAUAACAGCGCAAUCCUCUCCAAGAGUCCCUAUCGCCAAGAGGGUUUACGACCUCGAUGUUGGAUCAGGACAUCCUAAUGGUGCAGCCGCUAUUAAGGGUUCGUUUGUUCAACGAUUAAAGUCCUACGUGAUCUGAG